GACGAACGCUGGCGGCGUGCUUAACACAUGCAAGUCGAACGGAAAGGCCCUGCUUUUGUGGGGUGCUCGAGUGGCGAACGGGUGAGUAACACGUGAGUAACCUGCCCUUGACUUUGGGAUAACUUCAGGAAACUGGGGCUAAUACCGGAUAGGAGCUCCUGCUGCAUGGUGGGGGUUGGAAAGUUUCGGCGGUUGGGGAUGGACUCGCGGCUUAUCAGCUUGUUGGUGGGGUAGUGGCUUACCAAGGCAUUGACGGGUAGCCGGCCUGAGAGGGUGACCGGCCACCAUGGGCCUGAGAUACGGCCCAGACUCCUACGUGAGGCAGCAGUGGGGAAUAUGGCACAAUGGGCGGAAGCCUGAUGCAGCAGCGCCGCGUGCGUGAUGACGGCCUUCGGGUUGUAAACCGCUUUCGCCUGUGACGAAGCGUGAGUGACGGUAAUGGGUAAAGAAGCACCGGCUAACUACGUG
RNAcentral lists this ribosomal RNA (468 nucleotides) under uncultured bacterium. Its description in RNAcentral is "partial 16S ribosomal RNA". It matches the Rfam family "Bacterial small subunit ribosomal RNA", at positions 28 to 507 of the family's 1533-position model. The record is from RNAcentral.